AGGUGUAACGUCACGCAUC
Molecule: ribosomal RNA, 19 nt
Filed under: Orthodicranum flagellare
Lineage: Eukaryota; Viridiplantae; Streptophyta; Bryopsida; Dicranales; Dicranaceae
Also listed under: 1 other name
Description: partial 26S ribosomal RNA
Source: RNAcentral